AUCAUGAGCCAUAUCACCCUGCAGCCCAAGACUGAUCGCCACACUGAAGCUAAGCAGGGUUGAGCUGGUCAAUACCUGGAUGGGAGACCUCCUGGGAAAACUAGGUUGCUGCUGGAA
This 117-nucleotide ribosomal RNA is filed under the name Sinocyclocheilus rhinocerous. The record is from RNAcentral. Lineage: Eukaryota; Metazoa; Chordata; Actinopteri; Cypriniformes; Cyprinidae.